Molecule: non-coding RNA, 71 nt
Organism: Cardiosporidium cionae
Lineage: Eukaryota; Apicomplexa; Aconoidasida; Nephromycida
Source: the annotation of a GenBank genome assembly
GCGCCAAUGGUCUAGUGGUAUGAUGCGACCUUCCCAAGGUUGUGACCCGGGUUCGAUUCCCGGUUGGCGCA